ACAAACUUGGUCAUUUAGAGGAAGUAAAAGUCGUAACAAGGUUUCCGUAGGUGAACCUGCGGAAGGAUCAUUACCGAGUUAGGGUUGCGUCCUGCGCGCCCGACCUCCCAACCCUUUGCUUACUUGACCUAAUGUUGCUUCGGCAGGCCCGCCGCCCGGUCACACGGGCGGCCGCCGGGGGUCCUUACCGACCUCGGGCCCGUGCCUGUCGAUGGCCCUUAUUAAAACUCUUUGUUAAAACGUGUCGUCUGAGUACACCAAAACAAAUAAAUUAAAACUUUCAACAACGGAUCUCUUGGUUCUGGCAUCGAUGAAGAACGCAGC
Molecule: unclassified non-coding RNA, 324 nt
Filed under: uncultured fungus
Lineage: Eukaryota; Fungi
Description: partial contains small subunit ribosomal RNA, internal transcribed spacer 1, and 5.8S ribosomal RNA
Rfam family: Eukaryotic small subunit ribosomal RNA (bases 1-73)
Source: RNAcentral